This 460-nucleotide ribosomal RNA is filed under the name uncultured bacterium. RNAcentral describes it as "partial 16S ribosomal RNA". It matches the Rfam family "Bacterial small subunit ribosomal RNA", at positions 338 to 795 of the family's 1533-position model. The record is from RNAcentral.
CCUACGGGUGGCAGCAGUGAGGAAUAUUGGUCAAUGGGCGCAAGCCUGAACCAGCCAAGCAGCGUGAAGGAUGAAUGCCCUAUGGGUUGUAAACUUCUUUUAUAUGGGAAUAAAGUGCAGUAUGUAUACCGCAUUGCAUGUACCUUAUGAAUAAGGAUCGGCUAACUCCGUGCCAGCAGCCGCGGUAAUACGGAGGAUCCGAGCGUUAUCCGGAUUUAUUGGGUUUAAAGGGCGCGUAGGCGGGUUGUUAAGUCAGGUGUGAAAGUUUGCGGCUCAACCGUAGAAUAGCAGUUGAUACUGGCAGCCUUGAGUACAGUAGAGGUAGGCGGAAUUCGCGGUGUAGCGGUGAAAUGCUUAGAUAUCACGAAGAACUCCGAUUGCGAAGGCAGCCUGCUGGACUGUAACUGACGCUGAUGCUCGAAAGUGUGGGUAUCAAACAGGAUUAGAUACCCCUGUAGUC